UCCUCGAUGGUGUAUCGGUAACAUAUGAGCUUCUCAUCGGAAUAUUAUUGAACAGUUGAAUCGCUCGAGCGCGGGGUUCGAUUCCCCGUCGGGGAA
Molecule: non-coding RNA, 96 nt
Organism: Mycena amicta
Lineage: Eukaryota; Fungi; Basidiomycota; Agaricomycetes; Agaricales; Mycenaceae
Source: the annotation of a GenBank genome assembly